Molecule: long non-coding RNA, 597 nt
Organism: Diospyros lotus (date-plum)
Lineage: Eukaryota; Viridiplantae; Streptophyta; Magnoliopsida; Ericales; Ebenaceae
Exons: 3
Source: RefSeq, a predicted model, not a curated record
GGUCAAGAUCUCAAUAACAAGGCUGUUCCCGAAGUAAGUUUCCGGCGGCGGAGGUUGCAGUCUCGACCGGGCGGCAAUCGUUAACAUGUAUCUCAGUUCUUGGGCCGAGUUGAGUUGCUGGCAGCAGGCCACGGAUCGCCAUUGGUGAGCCAGCAGAGCCUGGAGAGAGGAAAUGGUGGUUGAUUCCAUCUCAGCGUUGGCUUUGGCUUUGAGCUCGGCGAUUUUCUCUUUGGGGAAGUGGAAAACCCGCUCUUCCAUCGGCGGUAGAAUGAACUUGUCUUGAAUUUGAUCGGAGCAGAAAGGGAUGGAAAUGGGAGGUUUGGUAUCGCCGGGAAACCACCGGUCGAGGACUGGAGGCCGCGAUAUGGAGAGAGAACCACGCGAUAUUUCCGACCAAGAAUUGAAGAAAUUCCAGAACGACGAGCCGUCGCCGAUUGAGUGAUUCAUCGUGCAUCCUCUCAGAGGUGAUAUAAGAGCGAGCGAGCGAUCUUACCGAUGAAGAAGCCGUCGAGCAGCUCGGUUACUUGAACUGCCAUGAGGGGAAUGGAAACUCCGUGGAAAUUAUAGACUCCAUUGAGAGGGAAGAAAGAGGGGACA